ACUUUGGGAGGCAUAGGCAGGCGGAUCAUGAGGUCAGGAGAUGGAAACCAUCCUGGCUAACAUGGUGAAACCCCGUCUCUACUGAAAAUGCAAAAAAUUAGCCGGGCGCGGUGGCGGGCACCUGUAGUCCCAGCUACUGGGAGGCUGAGGCAGGAGUAUGGCGUGAACCCAGGAGGCAGAGCUUGCAGUGAGCCGAGAUCACGCCACUGCACUCCAGCCUGGGCGACAGAGCAAGACUCCGUCUCAAAUAGAUAAAAAUAAAUUUAUAUAAGUAGAAUCAUUAAAGUAUGCAUUUUUGGGGUCUGGUUUCUUUUAUCCCACAUACAGUAUGUUGUGCUUCAUCCAUGUCAUUGCACUCACCUGUAACACAUUUUAUUGUCUUUUUCCCACAGCAAACAGUUUAAUGUAAACACUCUGUACAUGGGCCUGUGAGACAGGCCUACCACCCAUGUCCAGGAAACCCCAGGGCAGGGCACCCGCAGCCCACGUCCAGCCUCCCACCCUCAGGGUCACUCAGGAAAGGAAGAGCAAAGUGCAUCGUCUUCAUAAAGAAAAACAGCCUGGGGUGGGCCCAGGCCAAAGAGCCUCCAAGUUGGUGGUUGUCUGGUGGCUGCUGGGCUCACAAACCCUCCUUAGCUUGGGCCAGACAUGCAAUGCUGCCGGCCAGGUCAGCAGCCUUGUCCAGCUUGAGGUAGGUGUGGGGCAGACACGGUGGAAGUUGAGCCAGUCGGGCAGCAGCUCAGAGAGGAGCAGCAGGUGCUUCUUCAUUUCCCCGGGGCCCACUGCAGCGGGCACCUCCUCGCCAUCCUGGCACAGGCCACCUCCACACUGAGCACCAGCUUGCGCUCAGACACAAAGAUGCGACGCAGCGUCCAGGCCAGGUCUGGCAGCCACUGCGGCCCGGCUCCUGCUCCGGCAUCAUGUCACCUGCGCCAGCUGCUUCUGUCCCAGAUUGCUCAGGACGGGGGCUGGAAAGCCAGGGGCAGCCAAGACCUGGGGCUGGAAACCGCAUCUGCCCACAGCCACAGCCUCCUGCACCUGUCAUCCUGGUGGGGCGCUGGCAUCGGACUAGCAGCAGGCACCGAGCUCCUGCAGCGGGCACCGCUGCCAACGUGUUCUGGCGCAGGCUGCAAGGGAAGGUGGCCUCCCCGCGCUGCUCCCGAAGCCCCAGGACCAGGGGUGUGGCCAGCAAGGCCUUCACACCCCGCGUCUCGUGGACAUUGUCCUCUCUGGAGGUGGCUGGAUGGGAGCUAGGCUCGCAGCGACCGGCCCCGCAGGGACGCGACUGCAGGGCUCAGGAUCCUGCACUCUGGCACUGCAGCACCGUGCCUUUCAGCAACCGCUACCUCCUGCAUCAGCGCCUCUCUCGGGUGGCAUGCUGGGGCCCGGGGGUCCUGGCGAGGCGAACUUCAGCUUCUUGUCUUGGUCUCUGCUUUUAUUGAUGUUAAACCUUUGUGGCUGUGCCAGGAAAAGCAUCCAGGAGUCCCUGAUGUGGACACUGCUUGCGCGCUCAGUGGGACUCAGCCAACAGGCGGUUCUCCCCAGGGCUUGCCGGCAGCUUGUUCCCGGAGGGCGGCUCCUCUUGGAAGCGACUCCUCCUGGAAGCAGCUCCUUGUGGGCGCACCAGGCUCAGGGGAGCUAAGGCCCGCCAUGGCCAGCAGGUCUGUGGAGGGGAAGGGUAAAGCGGGCUCUGCAGGGCAGCAGACCAGGACCAUGCGAGUGGCUGGUCAGUCUGGUCUCCAAGCACAGCCUCUCGGGAUUCCCUGGGUCCCAUGGCUUAUAAUGCUCUUGAAUCCCACACCUUCCCCGGGAGACAGCAUGUCACCGUCACCGCCCAGCGCCCUCUGAUCUGUUCCCACUAGCUCUGCAGCGGAGGGUGGGUCGGGGAGAGAGGGCCACAGGGAAGGAAAAGCGUGAGGUGGGCGAGUAUCUUCAUAAGCUUCUUCCCAUCUGUAUGCCAUCUCUGAUGGGUACCUCUUUAGAUCUUCUGUCCAUUUACUAAUCGGGUUGUUUGAUUUCUUAUUGCUGAGUUGUAAGUGGUUUUUAAUGGUCUGGAUGCCAGACAGGUGUUUUGCAAAUAUUUUCUCGCUGUCUGUGACUUCUCUAUUCUCUUAACAUUUCCUUUCCCAGAGCAAAAGUUUUUAAUUGUAACAAAGUCAUACCAGUAUCGUCUUUCAUGGUAAAAAUUUGUCUUGUAUGUACUUUAGUGUUAUAUCUGCAAAGUAAUUGCCAAACUCAAAGUUACCUAUCUAUCCC
Molecule: long non-coding RNA, 2256 nt
Organism: Macaca mulatta (Rhesus monkey)
Lineage: Eukaryota; Metazoa; Chordata; Mammalia; Primates; Cercopithecidae
Source: Ensembl